This 322-nucleotide ribosomal RNA is filed under the name uncultured eukaryote. RNAcentral describes it as "partial 18S ribosomal RNA". It matches the Rfam family "Eukaryotic small subunit ribosomal RNA", at positions 1470 to 1796 of the family's 1831-position model. The record is from RNAcentral.
CCCUUAGAUGUUCUGGGCCGCACGCGUGCUACACUGAGUGGAUCAGCGGGUCAGGUUGCGCGAAAGUGUUUCCUAGUCUUGAAAUCCGCUCGUGAUGGGGAUUGACGGUUGCAAUUUUCCGUCAUGAACGAGGAAUACCUUGUAAGCGCGGGUCAUCAUCCCGCGCUGAAUACGUCCCUGCCCUUUGUACACACCGCCCGUCGCUCCUACCGAUUGAGUGGUCCGGUGAGGCUUUGGGAUCUGAGCGGAAAGAGCGUUUCGCUGUUUCUGCUCGGAAAACUCAGUCGAACCUUAUCAUUUAGAGGAAGGAGAAGUCGUAACA